RNAcentral lists this small RNA (443 nucleotides) under Arabidopsis thaliana (thale cress). RNAcentral's name for it is "ATSL146000". The record is from RNAcentral. Lineage: Eukaryota; Viridiplantae; Streptophyta; Magnoliopsida; Brassicales; Brassicaceae.
AAAAUAAGCCUUUUUGAUAUUUUUGGAAUCUUUUGAGAGUGUUUAUUAUUUCUUGUCAGUGGUUGUCAAUGGUGCGUAAUAUUCAUUGGUUUGGUUAAUGGUGUGUAAUAUCAAUGCACGAUCCGACUAAUUGCGUCAUAUCCAAGGGGUCUUGUAGAGAGUGAUUCUCAUUUCAUCCUCGAAUUCGUCUUAGUGUGUCAUAUCUAAGGGAUUCAAGUUCGGUAAAUUAAGAGUCUUCCGCAGCUCUUGUGUGACCAUUCGCUCCACCAUUCUUAUCUUUCGUAGUUUAACUUUUUCAUUUAGAAUCUAAAAAAUAUCUUUACACCGAUUUAGAGUGCCGACUCUUUGAAAGAUUCUCAUCACUUUAGAUCUAGCCAUAUGCAAUUGUGGCCUUGUGUGGGAGAUAUACUACAUAGCUUCAUGUACCUCAACUCAUGAAGAUU